GGUCAAAGGAAAGUUCCUUUCGGCUUUACACUUCUUUACCACCAGCAUGACCAUUUGACAUAAGUCCUAAGCAGUCCUACUUCUAAGCUCACUCCCUUCAAAACAAGCAAGGCUCUAGAUUAUGUCUGUUCUUUGGAUCUCUUUUUUCAAGCCACUACCAUGGAUUGCAAGUUUUCUGCCUGUGCCCUCCUUAUUUGCAGAUUUCAUAUUGUUCCAAGAAAAUCCUUCUAGAAAGAUCUCCUUUAUUAGUUUAUGAACAUUAUAUAAGUUAUAGAGCCUUUAUCAUAUGUUUGCUCAGAUGCUUUCUUAUGCGCAUACUAUAGAAGCAUCCUUUCUUUUCUUC
This 343-nucleotide unclassified non-coding RNA is filed under the name Hevea brasiliensis (rubber tree). Lineage: Eukaryota; Viridiplantae; Streptophyta; Magnoliopsida; Malpighiales; Euphorbiaceae. The record is from RNAcentral.